Molecule: ribosomal RNA, 425 nt
Filed under: uncultured bacterium
Lineage: Bacteria
Description: bacterial SSU rRNA
Rfam family: Bacterial small subunit ribosomal RNA
Source: RNAcentral
GUGGGGAAUCUUAGACAAUGGGCGCAAGCCUGAUCUAGCCAUGCCGCGUGAGCGAUGAAGGCCUUAGGGUUGUAAAGCUCUUUCAGGGGGGAAGAUAAUGACGGUACCCCCAGAAGAAGCCCCGGCUAACUCCGUGCCAGCAGCCGCGGUAAUACGGAGGGGGCUAGCGUUGUGCGGAAUUACUGGGCGUAAAGCGCACGUAGGCGGACCAGAAAGUCAGGGGUGAAAUCCCGGGGCUCAACCCCGGAACUGCCUUUGAAACUCCUGGUCUUGAGGUCGAGAGAGGUGAGUGGAAUUCCGAGUGUAGAGGUGAAAGUCGUAGAUAUUCGGAGGAACACCAGUGGCGAAGGCGGCUCACUGGCUCGAUACUGACGCUGAGGUGCGAAAGCGUGGGGUGCAAACAGGAUUAGAUACCCCGGUAGUCC